Molecule: non-coding RNA, 708 nt
Organism: Punica granatum (pomegranate)
Lineage: Eukaryota; Viridiplantae; Streptophyta; Magnoliopsida; Myrtales; Lythraceae
Source: RefSeq, a predicted model, not a curated record
ACAUGCCCCCUCAAUUAAAUUCCGUCUAAAAAAUACGUGAAAAAGGAAAAAGAAAAAGAAGGAACAGGAGAACAGGGGAGCGUAUCCAUCUUCUAGGUCAUAUCUCCCUGACCGCCGGUGCAGGCCAGUCCCCACGAGCAGCUGCGGCGAUUCUCCCCGUGCGACCAGAUUACAGUGCAGAGACCAAACCCCUGCCCUCGCGAUUCCAUUGCCAGUGAUUGGCCUCGAUCGUGAUGACCCCUCCUCGACCAGACUCCGAUAUACACCAACCAGCCCUACAAGCCCAUCUCCCCAAGAAGCCACGGUGACCAUCUCCAUGCGUGACCAGACUCCGGUUCAGGGGAGGAAGUUAUAUACAAUUGGAGCAAAACUUCUGUGGAACGUUACAUUUAUCAAUCGGCAAUAGUUGCAGCCUCAGAGGAUCUGAUUUUGUUCUGAUUUUGUUACUGAGGUUGAGUCGUUCAUUUUAUACAAAGUAACAGAUAUGGAGCUUCCAUAUGUAAUUUAUCCGAAACUUUAACAGAUCAUGACAUUAUGCAAAUUCCAUCCAUAAUAGACAAUCUUUUAGACUUUAGUUCUCUCUCUCUCUUUUCGUGAUGACAAAUUGAUAGAGAAAAGGCUUACAAGAUAGUGCUGAAUGUUCUUGGAAAUUUUUGUGAUUGCAAUACAUUGAAUACAUGUUUUAUGGCCUUUUUGUUGUUGGAUGGA